AUGUACCCUGUAGCUUGGGCUGUUGUGGAAAAAGAAACUACAGAGACAUGGAACUGGUUUAUUGGGCUGCUAAUCAAGGAUUUGGAUAUCAAUGAUCAAGGAGCAGGCUGGGUUUUUAUUUCUGACCAGCAAAAGGUUAUAACUAUUUUCAUUGUUGCAAUUGUUGUAUGUUUCUAA
RNAcentral lists this ribosomal RNA (177 nucleotides) under Triticum aestivum (bread wheat). Its description in RNAcentral is "partial small subunit ribosomal RNA". The record is from RNAcentral. Lineage: Eukaryota; Viridiplantae; Streptophyta; Magnoliopsida; Poales; Poaceae.